This 565-nucleotide ribosomal RNA is filed under the name uncultured bacterium. Its description in RNAcentral is "partial 16S ribosomal RNA". It matches the Rfam family "Bacterial small subunit ribosomal RNA", at positions 355 to 913 of the family's 1533-position model. The record is from RNAcentral.
UGGGGAAUUUUGGACAAUGGGCGAAAGCCUGAUCCAGCAAUGCCGCGUGUGUGAAGAAGGCCUUCGGGUUGUAAAGCACUUUUGUCCGGAAAGAAAUCCUUGGCUCUAAUACAGUCGGGGGAUGACGGUACCGGAAGAAUAAGCACCGGCUAACUACGUGCCAGCAGCCGCGGUAAUACGUAGGGUGCAAGCGUUAAUCGGAAUUACUGGGCGUAAAGCGUGCGCAGGCGGUUUGCUAAGACCGAUGUGAAAUCCCCGGGCUCAACCUGGGAACUGCAUUGGUGACUGGCAGGCUAGAGUAUGGCAGAGGGGGGUAGAAUUCCACGUGUAGCAGUGAAAUGCGUAGAGAUGUGGAGGAAUACCGAUGGCGAAGGCAGCCCCCUGGGCCAAUACUGACGCUCAUGCACGAAAGCGUGGGGAGCAAACAGGAUUAGAUACCCUGGUAGUCCACGCCCUAAACGAUGUCAACUGGUUGUUGGGGAUUCAUUUCCUUAGUAACGUAGCUAACGCGUGAAGUUGACCGCCUGGGGAGUACGGUCGCAAGAUUAAAACUUAAAUGAAUUGA